Molecule: transfer RNA, 72 nt
Organism: Camelus ferus (Wild Bactrian camel)
Lineage: Eukaryota; Metazoa; Chordata; Mammalia; Artiodactyla; Camelidae
Rfam family: tRNA
About the family: Transfer RNA (tRNA) molecules are approximately 80 nucleotides in length. Their secondary structure includes four short double-helical elements and three loops (D, anti-codon, and T loops).
Source: Rfam
GAGGGUAUAGCUCAGUGGUAGAACUUAUGCUUAGCAUGUAUAAGGUCCUGGGUUUAAUCCCCAGUACCUCCA